Molecule: ribosomal RNA, 505 nt
Filed under: uncultured bacterium
Lineage: Bacteria
Description: partial 16S ribosomal RNA
Rfam family: Bacterial small subunit ribosomal RNA
Source: RNAcentral
GACGAACGCUGGCGGCGUGCCUAAUACAUGCAAGUCGAACGCACAGUUUAUACCGUAGCUCGCUACACCAUAGACUGUGAGUUGCGAACGGGUGAGUAACGCGUAGGUAACCUGCCUGGUAGCGGGGGAUAACUAUUGGAAACGAUAGCUAAUACCGCAUAAUAUUCAUUAUUGCAUGAUAAUUAAUUGAAAGGUGCAAUUGCACCACUACCAGAUGGACCUGCGUUGUAUUAGCUAGUAGGUGAGGUAACGGCUCACCUAGGCGACGAAUCAUAGCCGACCCGGGAAGGGGAACGGCCAAACUGGGACUGAGACACGGCCCAGACUCCUACGGGAGGCAGCAGGAGGGAAUCUUUGGCAAAGGACGAAAGUCUGAACGAGCAACGCCGCGGGAGGGAAGAAGGGUUUCGGAUCGUAAAGCUCUGUUGUAAGAGAAGAAAGGGAGUGAGAGUGGAAAGUUCACACUGUGACGGUAGCUUACCAGAAAGGGACGGCUAACUACGUG